This 345-nucleotide ribosomal RNA is filed under the name uncultured Glomus. RNAcentral describes it as "SSU rRNA". It matches the Rfam family "Eukaryotic small subunit ribosomal RNA", at positions 569 to 919 of the family's 1831-position model. The record is from RNAcentral. Lineage: Eukaryota; Fungi; Glomeromycota; Glomeromycetes; Glomerales; Glomeraceae.
AGCAGCCGCGGUAAUUCCAGCUCCAAUAGCGUAUAUUAAAGUUGUUGCAGUUAAAAAGCUCGUAGUUGAAUUUCGGGAUCAAUACGUCGGUCGUGCUUCGGUACGUACUGGCGUCAUUGAUUUCUCCCUUCUGACGAACCAUGAUGUCAUUAACUUGGUGUCAUGGGAAAUCAGGACUGUUACUUUAGAAAAAUUAGAGUGUUUAAAGCAGGCUCACGCUUGAAUACAUUAGCAUGGAAUAAUGAAAUAGGACGUUCGAACCUAUUUUGUUGGUUUCUAGGAUCAACGUAAUGAUUAAUAGGGAUAGUUGGGGGCAUUAGUAUUCAAUUGUCAGAGGUGAAAUUC